Molecule: unclassified non-coding RNA, 371 nt
Filed under: soil metagenome
Description: partial contains 5.8S ribosomal RNA, internal transcribed spacer 2, and large subunit ribosomal RNA
Rfam family: 5.8S ribosomal RNA (bases 1-120)
Source: RNAcentral
GAUGAAGAACGUAGCGAAAUGCGAUAAGUAAUGUGAAUUGCAGAAUUCAGUGAAUCAUCGAAUCUUUGAUCGCACAUUGCGCCCCCUGGAAUUCCGGGGGGCAUGCCUGUUCGAGCGUCUCAGGGACGAACCCUCGCGCGGGUGUACGCGCGGUCGUGGCUGCGGUGGCGUGCCCGAGGCGGCGGCCACCGCGCUGGAAUCCAUGGGCGGACGCCUGCCGCGUGGCCGAGCGUGAUAUGACGCAUUGGCGCUCGCACGCGGCGAGGCUGCCAGCCCUGGCCCGUCUGUCGGGCGGGGGAGAGCAAGACACGUGAACUCCUCGAAUCAGGUAGGGAUACCCGCUGAACUUAAGCAUAUCAAUAAGCGGAGGA